Peromyscus maniculatus bairdii (prairie deer mouse) is the source of this 1937-nucleotide RNA transcript. It is a transcript of the gene named cell adhesion molecule CEACAM6-like, with no coding region annotated. Lineage: Eukaryota; Metazoa; Chordata; Mammalia; Rodentia; Cricetidae. The record is from RefSeq and is a predicted model, not a curated record.
GAGAUCAGUGCUGGGGUGGACAGUUGACAAGGACUCCCAUCAGUCUGUGGGGGAUGGGGAACCGAGAGGAAAGGAAGCAGGUCUAAAUGGGUAGGGAACAGGGGAGAGUCCUAGCAACAGUCCCUGUCACCAGCCCAUGUGACCCUGAAAGGUCCAGCCCUAUAAUGAGCUCAGUUCAGAGAGACAAAGGACAACAGAACUGACAUCGGACCAUCAGGCUUUGGAAGAAGUUCUGAAGCCUGAGCUCUUUUCCACAGAGGCAAGACUAAGCAGACAACAGACUAUGGAGCCCCCCUCAGUCCUUCUCCCAACACAUGUCCCCUGCUUGCAGGGGCUCCUGCUUGCAGCCUCAGUUUUAACCAUAUGGAACAUCCCCUCGGCUGCUGCACCUGCCAUUGAGGCAGUACCACCUACUGUCCUCGAAGGGAAGAACGUCCUUCUACUUGCUCACAAUCUGCCAGACAACCUUUCAGCCUAUCACUGGUUCAAAGGGAAAGAGCCACUGGACAAAGAUCUAAUUAUAAUGCAUGAAAUAAAAUCUCAAGAAACCAAACAAGGAAAACUACACAGUGGCAGAGAGACACUAUACCCUAAUGGAUCCUUGAUGUUACAGAAUGUCACCUUGAAGCAAUCUGGAAUCUACAACCUAAAUAUCCGUUCUGCAGAGUCUGACCAAAAAUCAAUGCUUGUGGAAGUCUCCAUAUACCCUCAGCUAUCCAAACCCUCCAUAAGAAGCAAUGGGACCACAGCAGUGGAGGGGCAAGACACUGUUGAAAUAACUUGUGACCCUCCCUUCCUGAAAACAACCUACACGUGGCGGCUAAACGGUAAGGAACUCCCAGGUGACACCAACGUCAGCCUGUCCCAGGGUAACACAACUCUCACUUUACUCAAGGUCUCCAGACAUUUAAAAGGACGCUAUGAGUGUAAAGUCCAGAACCCACUGGGUGUCUUUCGGAGUAACCCAUUCACUCUGGAUGUUUUCUACGGCCCAGAUAACCCCCAAAUAUUUCCCCCAGACAAAUACUUUGAGGAAGGGAAAAACCUGUGGCUAUCCUGCCAGGCGACCUCUCACCCCAAAGCACAGUAUUCCUGGAAUGUCAAUGGAGAACACUGGAGUUCUAGACAAGAUAUCUUUAUCCACAAGGUCAACAUGAGUAAUAGUGGAUUAUAUACCUGCCACGUCAACAACCCAACAACUGGCCGCAAUGAUUUCAAAGUCAAAGAAAUUACAAUAGUUGAGAAUUUGCUGAAGCCCCAUAUCCAAAUCAGAAAUAGAACUGUCCUAGAAAACCACUUGGUGGACCUGACCUGCGUAUCAGAGAAUACCGGAAUUUCCAUAUUAUGGACGUUCAAUAACGAGAGACUGAAGGCCACAGACAGGGUGAUGUUCUCCUGGAAUAAUCAAAGGCUCACCAUACGCCCAAUCACAAAGGAGGAUGCUGGGGCAUACCAGUGUGAGGUCUCCAACCCCUUCAUUUCCAAGUUGAGUGACCCAGUCAGCCUGGAUGUUCUUUAUCAACCAUCACAGAGAAAUUUCCCCAUGUCAGUUCCGGUUGCUGCUGCCUUGGCUGUUGAAGUUCUGGCUGGGCUGGCUAUCCUAGGAGGCCUGGCAUACUUCGUGUUUUUCAAGAAACUUAACCAUCAGCAAAAAAGGAGCCACAAAAAAAAAUACAAGAAACAAAAGGAAUGGACGAAAGAAAAAGAGCAGUGGGAGAAUGUAAAGGAUGAGGAGGAAGAGCAUGCUCAGUGAGGACAACUGGACCCAUCCACCCACAGUCACGUGACAACUCUCCUAAUGAGGUGGAUGAAGUGGCAUAUUCUAUCGUGAACGUCAACGCCCAGCAACCCAAACCACCAACUUCAACCUCCAUGCUACAACAGUCACAUAAACGGUUUUCUGAAGUGAAAAAAAAAAACAACGGGAUCUGUCCUGA